RNAcentral lists this ribosomal RNA (1343 nucleotides) under uncultured bacterium. RNAcentral describes it as "16S ribosomal RNA". It matches the Rfam family "Bacterial small subunit ribosomal RNA", at positions 28 to 1378 of the family's 1533-position model. The record is from RNAcentral.
GACGAACGCUGGCGGCGUGCUUAACACAUGCAAGUCGAACGGAAAGGCCCUGCUUUUGUGGGGUGCUCGAGUGGCGAACGGGUGAGUAACACGUGAGUAACCUGCCCUUGACUUUGGGAUAACUUCAGGAAACUGGGGCUAAUACCGGAUAGGAGCUCCUGCUGCAUGGUGGGGGUUGGAAAGUUUCGGCGGUUGAGGAUGGACUCGCGGCUUAUCAGCUUGUUGGUGGGGUAGUGGCUUACCAAGGCUUUGACGGGUAGCCGGCCUGAGAGGGUGACCGGCCACAUUGGGACUGAGAUACGGCCCAGACUCCUACGGGAGGCAGCAGUGGGGAAUAUUGCACAAUGGGCGGAAGCCUGAUGCAGCAACGCCGCGUGCGGGAUGACGGCCUUCGGGUUGUAAACCGCUUUCGCCUGUGACGAAGCGUGAGUGACGGUAAUGGGUAAAGAAGCACCGGCUAACUACGUGCCAGCAGCCGCGGUGAUACGUAGGGUGCGAGCGUUGUCCGGAUUUAUUGGGCGUAAAGGGCUCGUAGGUGGUUGAUCGCGUCGGAAGUGUAAUCUUGGGGCUUAACCCUGAGCGUGCUUUCGAUACGGGUUGACUUGAGGAAGGUAGGGGAGAAUGGAAUUCCUGGUGGAGCGGUGGAAUGCGCAGAUAUCAGGAGGAACACCAGUGGCGAAGGCGGUUCUCUGGGCCUUUCCUGACGCUGAGGAGCGAAAGCGUGGGGAGCGAACAGGCUUAGAUACCCUGGUAGUCCACGCUGUAAACGGUGGGUACUAGGUGUGGGGUCCAUUCCACGGGUUCCGUGCCGUAGCUAACGCUUUAAGUACCCCGCCUGGGGAGUACGGCCGCAAGGCUAAAACUCAAAGGAAUUGACGGGGCCCCGCACAAGCGGCGGAGCAUGCGGAUUAAUUCGAUGCAACGCGUAGAACCUUACCUGGGUUUGACAUGGAUCGGGAGUGCUCAGAGAUGGGUGUGCCUCUUUUGGGGUCGGUUCACAGGUGGUGCAUGCCUGUCGUCAGCUCGUGUCGUGAGAUGUUGGGUUAAGUCCCGCAACGAGCGCAACCCUUGUUCACUGUUGCCAGCACGUUAUGGUGGGGACUCAGUGGAGACCGCCGGGGUCAACUCGGAGGAAGGUGGGGAUGACGUCAAGUCAUCAUGCCCCUUAUGUCCAGGGCUUCACGCAUGCUACAAUGGCUGGUACAGAGAGUGGCGAGCCUGUGAGGGUGAGCGAAUCUCGGAAAGCCGGUCUCAGUUCGGAUUGGGGUCUGCAACUCGACCUCAUGAAGUCGGAGUCGCUAGUAAUCGCAGAUCAGCAACGCUGCGGUGAAUACGUUCCCGGG